AACGAACGCUGGCGGCGUGGAUAAGACAUGCAAGUCGAACGCUUGAUUUCGGUUAGCAAUAAUCGGAGUCAGGAGUGGCGCAAGGGUGCGUAACACGUGGGCAAUCUGCCGCGAAGACCGGGAUAACUUGCUGAAAGGCGAGCUAAUACCGGAUGUGAAAUCUGGAAGGCAUCUUUUGGAUUUUGAAGCUGGGGACCGCAAGGCCUGGCACUUCGCGAUGAGCCCGCGGCCUAUCAGCUAGUUGGUGAGGUAACGGCUCACCAAGGCUAAGACGGGUAGCUGGUCUGAGAGGACGACCAGCCUCACUGGAACUGAGACACGGUCCAGACACCUACGGGUGGCAGCAGUCGAGUAAUUUUUGACAAUGGGGAAACCCUGAUCGAGCGACGCCGCGUGGAGGAUG
RNAcentral lists this ribosomal RNA (403 nucleotides) under uncultured bacterium. RNAcentral's name for it is "bacterial SSU rRNA". It matches the Rfam family "Bacterial small subunit ribosomal RNA", at positions 29 to 410 of the family's 1533-position model. The record is from RNAcentral.